This is a long non-coding RNA of Bos taurus (domestic cattle), 852 nucleotides long. Lineage: Eukaryota; Metazoa; Chordata; Mammalia; Artiodactyla; Bovidae. The record is from Ensembl.
CUCACUGCAGUAGUGGGAAGUAGAAUAUCAGGAUUUCUGACAGUUUCCUGAGUCCCAGUUCCUACCAAGUAAUGCCAGGAGGACCAGGUAAUACCUGUGUAUGCAGUGAGUUUCCUGAUAGGAGAGGAACUUUAUGGGGAAACUCCAGUUUGUAAUAAAGGACUCGCAAACCUAUCCAACUGAGUAGUGGAAAGAAACUCAUCUUUUUUAUUCUAGACAGCAAACAAAUCUCCCCUUGGGCCCAGAGGAAGACAUUAUCUCUGUCUUCUAAGGAUGUUUGCUACACAGACAUCCCUGAAAAAAUCAGGAAAAAGCUGUUAAUGCCCUUGCCUAGAAGACAUGCAGAAAUACAAGAGAUCAAUGGAGAGCUGUCUUCCCACAAAUGACUGCUUCAGAGCCUUUGUCAGAGCCUGGGAGCCUCAACUACUGAAGCCUGCAGACCCCAGAGCCUGUGCUCCACAAGAGAAGCCACCGCAGUGAGAAGCCCUCACACCACAACUGGAGAGCAGCCACUGCUCACCUCAACUAGAGAAAAGCCCACACGCAACCGAGUCCCAGCACAGCCAACAAAUACAUUAAAGCACUACUUUAAAACUCGAUGUGAUGAACUUGACCUGUUAAAAAAGGCAAUGAGUAAUGAUGGAAUUAUUUCUAAUUUUUUUAAAAAGGAAAUUAUAGCCAGUUGGGAUUGUUCUUUCAAACAGCUUGUAGCCUAUACUAAUGGUCUCUUGGGAUUGUCCCCUUAGGCAGUUUAUACUGGUGAAGCAGGUAGAUCCCGUGAUUUGGGAGGGGAAGGGAAAGGUAGUCUGAACAGCAGCACGCUGAACUCUGUGAACCUCUAAAAUCCACUUG